Long non-coding RNA from Daphnia magna, 1425 nucleotides. RefSeq lists it as uncharacterized. The transcript is spliced from 4 exons. NCBI's taxonomy places the organism in Eukaryota, Metazoa, Arthropoda, Branchiopoda, Diplostraca, Daphniidae. The record is from RefSeq and is a predicted model, not a curated record.
ACACAGACGUGUAAGCAGAUGUUGAAAGUGCGCCACAAAAAUGCACUGCAUUUAAACGUCGCACUGCAAGGUAAACACCCAAGGUCUCCUAAAAUUUUGAUGUCGUGAAAUGUAUAGAUUUUAUUCGGGCUUCAUUCAUAUUACAACUGCGAACAGACGUACCGCAAGGUGCCAAACGAACAGUGAUGCCCUGUCUUUGUUGGAUGUUCAAAUGUUCAUACUUUUACUCGCUUUUACUAAACCUAACUUAUACAGCUCUGCGCGAUUAAGUUCCAAAUGAAGUUCGGUGGACGCAUCCAACUUGAUGACAAAGGCAAAAGAAAGAAAAAAAAUGAUACGUGGGUUGGAGCACGAAACUAUUUAUCGGUUAGGUAUGUAGACCCAAUCCACCACGUAGUGUAAAGUCAAGUGCGACACAGAGAGAAUGGAACUUUGGAAAGUUUGUGGACGUUUUUGAGCCCGCGUUGAGCGAGAACUAUAUAUACGGCUGUAAAGUAAGUGAGCUGCUGCUGCGUAGGCGACCCUUUUUUUUCUCACAAGACGGAAAACGACGUGAUAAAAAAACCAACGGAGAGUUAGCUGCCGGCUAAGUCCACGACGACACAGCUGGAAAGGGAAGUUUUCGCAGCCGAAAUGGAGGAAUAAUCGAAUGUUACCAACGGCGAUAUACGACCUCGUCUAGAAAAAGGGGAUUGCUACUCUAGAAGCUUUUUCUUUGGUGAAUAAAGGCUUCAUUUUAUAUUUUUUAUUUAAAGGGGUUGUACGGAGAAACGCCUCUGGUUAUUCAACUUUAUUCGUAUGGCCACUUUUGGUUGAACUACUUGACUCGAUUUGCACUUGAAGUCAGAGUUGUUUUGCACGUUGUUUCUCUCUAGUUGUGAUAAGGUGUUGGUUGAAAAAAAUCUUGAUAAAAAAUAUAAAAGGAGUAACGAGGAACAGCGACUAACGAAUUGGUUAGCUGUGAUUGCACCGAGUGUUCGACAGGAAGAUGUAAUAGAAGUUGGGAAGCAACUAAGGAAGUAAAGGAAGUAGAGGGCGCAAAAAGAACAAGAGGAUUUAUAGCCUUGGUGUUAAUACUUUCUUGAUUAGGCAUCAUUCACCUUGGCAGGUACAACAAAAAUCGAUUGAUUGGAGGAUUCGCUAAUUCGUCAAGGAGGACAAUGUCCGACUCGUCAAUUAGGUGAGUUCAGGAUUAGCACGAAAAAGGAUGUGCUACGGUUGAUCACCAUGCCAAAAUGAGAUAAUGCCACUACGUGUACCUUCCCAGCAUUAACACGUGCUGUACUACAACGUCAAAGAUUUUCAUGGCCACAUAAUGAACUCUCAGCUGAUGAUGAGUAGAUUGAGGACCGAUGCGUUGGAAGCGAGGUAAUCCAACGAUAGCCAAGUAUCGCAAACAUAAGGUCCCAGCUGCCACCGGCCGGC